RNAcentral lists this ribosomal RNA (468 nucleotides) under uncultured bacterium. RNAcentral describes it as "partial 16S ribosomal RNA". It matches the Rfam family "Bacterial small subunit ribosomal RNA", at positions 28 to 507 of the family's 1533-position model. The record is from RNAcentral.
GACGAACGCUGGCGGCGUGCUUAACACAUGCAAGUCGAACGGAAAGGCCCUGCUUUUGUGGGGUGCUCGAGUGGCGAACGGGUGAGUAACACGUGAGUAACCUGCCCUUGACUUUGGGAUAACUUCAGGAAACUGGGGCUCAUACCGGGUAGGAGCUCCUGCUGCAUGGUGGGGGAUGGAAAGUUUCGGCGGUUGGGGAUGGACUCGCGGCUUAUCCGCUUGUUGGUGGGGUAGUGGCUUACCAAGGCUUUGACGGGUAGCCCGCCUGGGAGGGUGACCGGCCACAUGGGUACUGCGAGACGGACCAGACGCCUACGGGAGGCAGCAGGGGGGAAUAUUGCACAAUGGGCGGAAGCCUGAGGCAGCAACGCCGCGUGCGGGAUGACGGCCUUCGGGUUGUAAACCGCUGUCGCCUGUGACGAAGCGUGAGUGACGGUAAUGGGUAAAGAAGCACCGGCUAACUACGUG